GACGAACGCUGGCGGCGUGCCUAAUACAUGCAAGUCGAACGCACAGUUUAUACCGUAGCUUGCUACACCAUAGACUGUGAGUUGCGAACGGGUGAGUAACGCGUAGGUAACCUGCCUGGUAGCGGGGGAUAACUAUUGGAAACGAUAGCUAAUACCGCAUAAUAUUAAUUAUUGCAUGAUAAUUAAUUGAAAGGUGCAAUUGCACCACUACCAGACGGACCUGCGUUGUAUUAGCUAGUAGGUGAGGUAACGGCUCACCUAGGCGACGAUACAUAGCCGACCUGAGAGGGUGAUCGGCCACACUGGGACUGAGACACGGCCCAGACUCCUACGGGAGGCAGCAGUAGGGAAUCUUCGGCAAUGGACGAAAGUCUGACCGAGCAACGCCGCGUGAGUGAAGAAGGGUGUCGGAUCGUAAAGCUCUGUUGUAAGAGAAGAACGGGUGUGAGAGUGGAAAGUUCACACUGUGACGGUAUCUUACCAGAAAGGGACGGCUAACUACGUG
RNAcentral lists this ribosomal RNA (505 nucleotides) under uncultured bacterium. RNAcentral's name for it is "partial 16S ribosomal RNA". It matches the Rfam family "Bacterial small subunit ribosomal RNA", at positions 28 to 507 of the family's 1533-position model. The record is from RNAcentral.